CAAUCUGCAGAUGAUUCAUUACAGACGAUUCCUUCAGCUCUGCACGCUCGCGCAUUGACGGUCAUUAAAGGCAAAUACUGUUUAAUUAAGCUUAUCUGAUGUAGUUAAUUGAAUAUUUAUGAAAGGAUGUGAAAUAUUCUACAGAUGUCAGCUGGUUUAGGCCUGUCAUGAUGUGUCAAUACCACAUUCAUUCAGUGAGUUAUAUAUAUUAUAAGUAUAUUCCGUCAAUCAUUCAUUCAUAACUGCAUUUAGAAAUGAAGCUAAUAACUGUAUUUAUGAACAAUCACAGGCUCAAAUGAUUGAUUCAGCAGCAGAUUCGUUCAUUAAUGAAGACGGACGUUCUGCUCGCACUGUUUUCAGUAAAGAAACAGAAACACCACACUAUAUAUAGGGUCAAGUGUGUUAGAGAAGGGAAGCACACAACUCCCCUGCAGCCAGUCAGCAGGAAUGGGCGUGUCCACUUACAAUAGCAUUGAUUAUGCAAAAAGGGGUGGAGUCUUGAGUUAUGGGCAUGUUUGUUUUGAUGCCUUCAGAUAUCAAGAGCUGUGUGUGUGUGUGUGUGUGUGUGUGUGUGUGUGUUUGUUUUUAUUACAUGGUGGGGACCUCAGCAUGAUAGCACACUCACAAAGUGGGGACCAAAAACAUAGUGGGGACCGAUCGCCCGGUCCCCACUAUGUUUUGCCUUUAAAAGACUCAGGGGGCGUUGCUGAUAUGCCUAGUGCAGUUUUUUUCACUGAUCCCCACCUUGACCAUUUACCUGAAUUGAGUGUGUAAGUGUGUGUCGGCGCACUGCUCUAUAGCGGUCCUGUAGUCGGAUGGCGGUACUGCACCCUGACACACACUUGACGCAGUUCACACACUCUGGCUACUGCACAUGCGCAGAUCUCAUAAAUGAAUCCGACUUUAAUCAACUUAAUUAAGAUCUAUCAUCAAAUUAUUCGAAUUUUUGGUCAGAGGCCGGGGUGGAGUGCAUGAGCCGCGGUCAGACAGUCACCAAUCACCGGGCGGCUAAAUGGAUCGACGGAGGAUAAAACCAUUAAAAGAUGCGGAGAAACACAUCACCAGCUCCACUGACAAGACCCAUUCACUGGAAACCGAAUAUAUAGAAGGUUACUAAGUUUUGCAGCAUUGAUGCCGAUCAUGAGGACGAUCUGCACCCUAACUGCACUGUCAAUAAGAUCGUUGUUCAGAGAAAACCUCAUUUGUCCCGUUUUGCAAUCAGGGAUAUUUUCUUUGGAGAGGAAAUAACGUUUGACUAUGGCGCAUGUGAUUGGCCUUGGAGAAAGCUUUCAUUGAAGGAUGCCCAUAUGACUGCAGAAGAGAACUGCUUCGACAACUCUCUGAUGAGCUUUUAUUGAAG
Molecule: non-coding RNA, 1360 nt
Organism: Danio rerio (zebrafish)
Lineage: Eukaryota; Metazoa; Chordata; Actinopteri; Cypriniformes; Danionidae
Source: RefSeq, a predicted model, not a curated record